RNAcentral lists this ribosomal RNA (253 nucleotides) under uncultured bacterium. Its description in RNAcentral is "partial 16S ribosomal RNA". It matches the Rfam family "Bacterial small subunit ribosomal RNA", at positions 524 to 776 of the family's 1533-position model. The record is from RNAcentral.
UACGUAGGGGGCAAGCGUUGUCCGGAUUUAUUGGGCGUAAAGAGCGUGUAGGCGGCUCGAUAAGUCUGCUGUGAAAGUCUAGGGCUCAACCUCGAGACGCCGGUGGAAACUGCAAAGCUAGAGUCCGGAAGAGGAGAGUGGAAUUCCUGGUGUAGCGGUGAAAUGCGCAGAUAUCAGGAAGAACACCCGUGGCGAAGGCGGCUCUCUGGGACGGUACUGACGCUGAGACGCGAAAGCGUGGGGAGCGAACAGG